UCGUAUUGUAUACUACGGGCCUUCGUACGUAUAUACAGUAUGGGGCCCCGUAUUGUAUACAUACGGUGGCCUGUAGUGUACAAUACGAGGUGGGUAUACGUUUCCUCUUCUACUUUUUGUUAGGGGCACCGAAGCACACCUCUUAUAUCUAUCACCCUAAACAAAAUGUGCAUUGCUGAUACAAAUAAUCUUUAUUUUGUUUACA
RNAcentral lists this long non-coding RNA (205 nucleotides) under Hordeum vulgare. RNAcentral describes it as "long non-coding RNA (HVUL_LNC005024)". The record is from RNAcentral. Lineage: Eukaryota; Viridiplantae; Streptophyta; Magnoliopsida; Poales; Poaceae.